AGAAGCUUAGGAUAAAUAAAACCAGGAGCCUUCAAAGCCCCAAACAAGAGAUGUUAGCCUCUUAGUUUCUG
This 71-nucleotide transfer RNA is filed under the name Rheodytes leukops. RNAcentral describes it as "tRNA-Trp". The record is from RNAcentral. Lineage: Eukaryota; Metazoa; Chordata; Testudines; Chelidae.